CGGGGCCGCCGUCUACCGUGCGAGUCGAACGGUAACAUUUACGUGCUUGCACUUCGAUGACGAGUGGCGGACGGGUGAGUAAUGCUUGGGAACUUGCCUUUGCGAGGGGGAUAACAGUUGGAAACGACUGCUAAUACCGCAUAAUGUCUUCGGACCAAACGGGGCUUAGGCUCCGGCGCAAAGAGAGGCCCAAGUGAGAUUAGCUAGUUGGUAAGGUAAAGGCUUACCAAGGCAACGAUCUCUAGCUGUUCUGAGAGGAAGAUCAGCCACACUGGGACUGAGACACGGCCCAGACUCCUACGGGAGGCAGCAGUGGGGAAUAUUGCACAAUGGGCGAAAGCCUGAUGCAGCCAUGCCGCGUGUGUGAAGAAGGCCUUCGGGUUGUAAAGCACUUUCAGUUGUGAGGAAAAGUUAGUAGUUAAUACCUGCUAGCCGUGACGUUAACAACAGAAGAAGCACCGGCUAACUCCGUGCCAGCAGCCGCGGUAAUACGGAGGGUGCGAGCGUUAAUCGGAAUUACUGGGCGUAAAGCGCACGCAGGCGGUUUGUUAAGCUAGAUGUGAAAGCCCCGAGCUCAACUUGGGAUGGUCAUUUAGAACUGGCAGACUAGAGUCUUGGAGAGGGGAGUGGAAUUCCAGGUGUAGCGGUGAAAUGCGUAGAUAUCUGGAGGAACAUCAGUGGCGAAGGCGACUCCCUGGCCAAAGACUGACGCUCAUGUGCGAAAGUGUGGGUAGCGAACAGGAUUAGAUACCCUGGUAGUCCACACCGUAAACGCUGUCUACUAGCUGUUUGUGGCUUUAAGCCGUGAGUAGCGAAGCUAACGCGAUAAGUAGACCGCCUGGGGAGUACGGCCGCAAGGUUAAAACUCAAAUGAAUUGACGGGGGCCCGCACAAGCGGUGGAGCAUGUGGUUUAAUUCGAUGCAACGCGAAGAACCUUACCUACACUUGACAUGCAGAGAAGUUACUAGAGAUAGUUUCGUGCCUUCGGGAACUCUGACACAGUGCUGCAUGGCUGUCGUCAGCUCGUGUCGUGAAGAUUGUUGGGUUAAGUCCCGCAACGAGCGCACUCUUGUCCUUAGUUGCCAGCAUUAAGUGGCACUUCUAAGGAGACUGCCGGUGAC
RNAcentral lists this ribosomal RNA (1122 nucleotides) under Alteromonas sp. D5028. RNAcentral's name for it is "bacterial SSU rRNA". It matches the Rfam family "Bacterial small subunit ribosomal RNA", at positions 38 to 1159 of the family's 1533-position model. Lineage: Bacteria; Pseudomonadati; Pseudomonadota; Gammaproteobacteria; Alteromonadales; Alteromonadaceae. The record is from RNAcentral.